UGGCCAAGAAAAUAAGUGAUGUUGGCUGGAAUCUGAAGCAGAAUUUCCGUUUUCCUUCCAUGGGAACCAUAAACAGCCUGUUAUUGGUUGUAGCAGACAUUACAUACACACUAUACUUGAUAGAAAUGUAAACCUCUCUCUCUCAUACUCACACAACACAGACCAAGCCACACAGUAUUGCUGGCUCACAUCAGCAGCAGUAACUGUACAACUCUACAGCAGGAUACAUACACAGUUCAGCUAUCGGCACAUUGGAGAAAAAUUUGCAGUAUUGAUUUACUAUCAAUGACUUCAUAAAAUCAUUAUAAAGAUAAUGUUGGUGCCAAUAUUGUUACUACUAUUUCUUCCGAAAUUAUCACAAACUGUUGACAUAACCUAUAAUGUGAAAGAGAACCAAGCUCCAGGCACAUACAUUGGAGACAUUGCUAUUGACUCACAUUUAGGAAGCAGUAUUCCAUCACAAGAUCACAGUCUUCUUUGGUUUAGCCAACUUACUAGCAGUUCUCAGCUAUUUAAUGUCUCUAAGACAGGGAAAUUUUAUACCUCAUUAAUAUUAGAUGCUGAAUCUCUUUGUAAAUACAAGACAGAAUGUUUCAGAAUAGUAGAUGUUGCAGUCAGCCACAAAGAAUCUUUUGUAAAAAUAUUAGAAAUCAAAGUUAUUAUUGAAGACGCCAAUGACAAUCAACCUAAAUUUCCAGAGAAACAAGUAGAAAUAAUGUUCUCUGAAAGAGACAGCAUUGGAUCUUGGACAGCAAUACCAAAUGCUAUGGAUAAUGAUGUAAGCAUUCAAAGUUCACGGAUAACUUAUCAUCUAAAGAAAACAAAACAAGAACCUUUCACAUUAUCUGUUUUCAGAAACUUAGAUGGUUCUGCUAAACUUGGAAUAGUUUUACAAGAGAAACUUGACAGAGAACUGAAAGAUUCUUAUCAACUUCAAGUUAUUGCAAAAGAUGGUGGCCAUCCCCCUAAAGAAGGUGUUCUAAAUCUCCAAAUAUUAAUUCGAGAUGAAAAUGACAAUUCCCCAAUUUUCUCCCAAAAUAUUUACAAUGUUUCUAUCAAAAAUAGUUAUCAAAGAUCAAUGCCUAUAGUCACUUUAUCAGCAACUGACUUAGAUUCUGGUGAAAAUGGUAAAGUAAUGUUCCAGUUCAGUUCCAAAACAUCAGAGAGUGCCAGAGCCUAUUUUAAAUUAAAUGAAUCAACAGGAGAAAUCUGGCAACUGCAAAAGUUUCCACCAGGAUCAAAAAAAUUAUACAAACUGUAUGUUAAAGCCAAGGAUGGAGGAAAUCCAUCUUUGAGCUCAGUUGCUAUGGUUUUAGUGAAUAUAAAUAGUCAAGAGAAUAAUCCUCCUGAUAUAGACAUGAAUUUUAUAUCAAAAUCAGCAGCACAUCUAGCCAGUAUUUCAGAGGGAGUAAAAAUUGGUAGCUUUAUUGCUUAUGUAAAAGUCACUGAUAAUGAUAUUGGACAGAAUGGUGAAGUUCAUUGUUUGCUUCACCAUGAUAAGUUGCAGCUCCAAGGUCUUGGAAGAAAUAAAUAUAAAGUUAUAGUAAAAAAGGUUAUAGAUAGAGAAAGUAAGAGUUAUAUCAAUUUUACCAUUUCUUGUGAAGAUAAAGGAUUUCCACCCCUGAAGACAGACAAACAUUUUUAUAUACAAGUAAUGGAUAUAAACGAUGUACAACCAGAAUUUAUCAAAUCCUUAUUUAGAUUCCAAACAUAUGAAAAUGAAGAAGCAAACUUUCCUGUGGGCUUUAUAAAUGCCUCAGAUCCAGACUUAGGAUCUGGAGGAGAAUUAAAAUAUUCCCUGUUGAAUAACAAUGAAGAUAUUCUCCCAUUCAAGAUUUCAAACUUUGGAUUUAUUUCAACAAUUUCAACAUUAGACCAUGAAAAACAAGAUGUUUAUAAGUUCAAAGUCUUGGUAGAAGAUAAAGGAAUACCCUCUUUAAGUGAUACAGCAAAUAUAAUUGUUGAAGUGAUGGAUAAAAAUGACAACGUUCCAUAUUUUACAUUUCCUAGUGUUGAUCCCUUUAAUCUGGAUGUCCACUACCAUCCACAAAGUAACACCGAGAUAACAACAUUAAGAGCUUCUGAUAGAGACAGUCAUGUGAAUGCUUUCCUCAGAUAUGAAAUAUUUGGAGGAAAUAACAGACAAUUAUUCUCAGUUAACCCCUAUUCUGGUGUUAUAUCAUUCUCUCGUCCCAUUUACCAAAAUGAUGCUGGAUCAUAUACUUUGAACUUAGUUGUCAAAGAUAGUGGCACUCCAGUUUUAUCAGCAACCACUACACUGUCUUUGACACUAACUGUUAGCAAUACAACAGCCAGAAUGUACACAGCUGAAGACACGGAAUCAGACAACAGAAUUCAUAUUAACUUGAUGAUUAUAAUUGUGGUAGCAGCAGUGAUAGUUUCUGUGGCCAUUGUAGUUUCAGUGAUAGUAUGUGUUGUCCAUAAAAGGCAUCAAAGAGACGUCCAGUACGCUACAAACAAUGAGUUUGUUGGUGAACAAAGACAGUCAGGAUAUGUCUGUGAACUAAUGUCACCUAAAUAUGAUAUCCCAGUUGCUAUGGUAACAGAUGCAGACUGCAAUCGCACCCCUAAAGCAACACUAAUAAGAAGAGACCCAAAUUCUGAUUAUGAACCUGGGUGUGACUGGGAAGUUUCCUCUGCAGAAGUCCAUCCUCAGUUCCUUACUACACAAUCUCACCAGCAGGGCCUCGGACAUAGGCCAACAUGAGCCUAUAAUUGUGUCUCUUGACCGUCUUAAUGACAUAUCAACAAUCCCAUCAAAUGCAGAAAAUAAUCAAGAAUGGAAUGAAAGAAAUGCUGGACAUUAUGAAACUCUACCAGGUCUAAAGUAUUUUCCGCAAGAACAGACUCCAAGUUCAG
This 2880-nucleotide unclassified non-coding RNA is filed under the name Octopus sinensis (East Asian common octopus). Its description in RNAcentral is "protocadherin gamma-B6, transcript variant X1". Lineage: Eukaryota; Metazoa; Mollusca; Cephalopoda; Octopoda; Octopodidae. The record is from RNAcentral.